This is a non-coding RNA of Picea glauca (white spruce), 265 nucleotides long. NCBI's taxonomy places the organism in Eukaryota, Viridiplantae, Streptophyta, Pinopsida, Pinales, Pinaceae. The record is from Rfam.
UAGAACAAUGUAGGUUAGGGAAGUUGGCAAAACGGAUCCGUAACUUUGGGAGAAGGAUUGACUCUGAGGGUUGAGCCUAGGGGUUUUCAUCCUCAACAUGUGGGUUGUUGACAGUCUUCCCGAGCUGCUAUCGCUAUGAGGGUGGACAAUUACAUGUUGAUUGGGCUACAAAUGUAGAAUGUCCCCUCACGUGUGCUUUUCCCUAGGUGGCGAACAAUCGACUCAGAACUGGUAUAGACAAGGAUGAAACCCUAUUUUUAUUCUA